Molecule: ribosomal RNA, 251 nt
Filed under: uncultured Bordetella sp.
Lineage: Bacteria; Pseudomonadati; Pseudomonadota; Betaproteobacteria; Burkholderiales; Alcaligenaceae
Description: partial 16S ribosomal RNA
Rfam family: Bacterial small subunit ribosomal RNA
Source: RNAcentral
UACGUAGGGUGCAAGCGUUAAUCGGAAUUACUGGGCGUAAAGCGUGCGCAGGCGGUUCGGUAAGAAAGAUGUGAAAUCCCAGGGCUUAACCUUGGAACUGCAUUUUUAACUACCGGGCUAGAGUGUGGCAGAGGGAGGUGGAAUUCCGCGUGUAGCAGUGAAAUGCGUAGAUAUGUGGAGGAACACCGAUGGCGAAGGCAGCCUCCUGGGAUAACACUGACGCUGAUGCACGAAAGCGUGGGGAGCAAACA